RNAcentral lists this unclassified non-coding RNA (544 nucleotides) under Bombus terrestris (buff-tailed bumblebee). Its description in RNAcentral is "misc RNA ENSBTSG00005022534.1". Lineage: Eukaryota; Metazoa; Arthropoda; Insecta; Hymenoptera; Apidae. The record is from RNAcentral.
UAAUUGUAAAAAUUGUAUGAAAAUUGACACUUAGGGCAUUUCGAAUAUAACCGAUAAAUAGAAGAUACUUUGAAAUAAAAAGUGACCCAUUGAACAAUUAAAUAUUUUUAUUAGAACAUCGAUAAAAAAAAAUGAGAACAAAUCUUGCAUCUAACGGUGCACUGUGUUUGCAUCGAUAUCUUUGAGGGGUAAUCUACGAAUAUUAUUAUAAACACAGCUUAGAAAAUAAUCGUAAAUGCUGCUUUAUAAUCGUAUAAUUGAAGUUAGAAGUGUGCACAUACCUUACUAUUAUAUAUAGAAUGAGCAAAUACUGUUUACGAAUAUCUUGUACGCGUUUCAACAAUAUAUUCUGCACGUUUUGCUUACGACGAAAUAACGAAUGCGAAUGGUUUGUUGAAAUAAACGAAGCCUUGUUACAAUAUGUCGCUAUCAACUGUUACCAAGGCGCCACAGUGAUAAACGGUCCAUUGGGGAAGAAUGUUGUCUUACAUCGUCAAUUUAUUAUUAUUUUGCCAUUAUAUGCUUUGAAUAAUAAAAAUACUCC